This 205-nucleotide ribosomal RNA is filed under the name uncultured bacterium. Its description in RNAcentral is "partial 16S ribosomal RNA". It matches the Rfam family "Bacterial small subunit ribosomal RNA", at positions 29 to 261 of the family's 1533-position model. The record is from RNAcentral.
AACGAACGCUGGCGGCAUGCCUAACACAUGCAAGUCGAACGAGACCUUCGGGUCUAGUGGCGCACGGGUGCGUAACGCGUGGGAAUCUGCCCUUAGGUUCGGAAUAACUCAGGGAAACUUGAGCUAAUACCGGAUAAUGACGUAAGUCCAAAGAUUUAUCGCCUAGGGAUGAGCCCGCGUAGGAUUAGCUAGUUGGUGGGGUAAA